Molecule: RNA transcript, 5136 nt
Organism: Choloepus didactylus (southern two-toed sloth)
Lineage: Eukaryota; Metazoa; Chordata; Mammalia; Pilosa; Megalonychidae
Gene: RNPC3
Gene name: RNA binding region (RNP1, RRM) containing 3
Exons: 16
Source: RefSeq, a predicted model, not a curated record
GAAAAUGGCGGCCCCCGAACAGCCGCUGCAGAUGUCCAGAGGUUGCCAGAACUCCCCUUCGCUUUCUCCGCUGCGGGGAGACCGAACCCUUCUCGUGCGGCACCUGCCCUCAGAGCUGACCGCAGAGGAGAAAGAAGACUUGCUGAAAUACUUCGGGGCGCAGUCGGUCCGCGUCCUGUCAGAUAAGGGGCGGCUGAAACAUACAGCUUUUGCUACUUUCCCUAAUGAAAAAGCAGCUAUAAAGGCAUUGACAAGACUCCAUCAGCUGAAACUUUUAGGUCACACUUUAGUUGUUGAAUUUGCAAAAGAGCAAGAUCGUGUUCACUCCCCAAGUACCUCUUCAGGCAAUGAAAAAAAGAAAAGGUCUGAUGAUCCUGUGGAAGAUGAUAAAGAAAAGAAAGAUCUUGGUUGUUUAACAAUAGAAAAUGGAAUCGCACCAAACCAUGGGCUGACUUUUCCUCUCAAUUCAUGCCUCAAGUAUAUGUAUCCGCCACCUUCAAGCACAAUUCUAGCAAACAUAGUAAAUGCCUUGGCAAGUGUGCCUAAGUUCUAUGUACAGGUGCUUCAUCUUAUGAAUAAAAUGAAUUUGCCCACACCUUUUGGACCGAUUACUGCACGACCUCCCAUGUAUGAAGACUAUAUCCCAGUGCAUGCACCUCUUCCACCUGUAUCUCCUCAGCCACCUGAAGAACCCCCUUUGCCAGAUGAGGAUGAGGAGUUCUCUAGUAAAGAAUCAGAAUAUGAAAGCAGUGAUGAUGAGGACCGACAGAGAAUGACCAAACUGAUGGAACUAGCAAAUCUUCAGCCCAAAAGACCAAAAACAAUAAAGCAGCACCAUGUGAGAAAAAAACGAAAAAUAAAGGAUAUGUUCAAUACACCUUCUUCUGCUUUAAACAGUAAUGUACAUCCAGUGCUGUUACCUUCAGAUGUAUUUGACCAACCACAACCUGUAGGUAAUAAAAAAAUUGAAUUCCAUAUAUCUACCAACAUGCCUGCUGCAUUUAAGAAAGAUUUAGAAGAGGAACAAAAUUGUGACAAACAAAAUUGUGAUUUACCGGCUAUUGAAGUUGACACAUCUAAUGUAGGAUUUGGAAAAAUCUUCCCUGCACCUAAUUUGAGCACCACAGAAGAGAUUAAAGAAGAUGCUGAUGAAAUGCCAUCAGAAUGUAUUUCUAGAAGGGAAUUGGAAAAGGGCAGAAUUUCUAGAGAAGAAAUGGAAUCACUUUCAGUUUUCAGAAGUUACGAACCUGGUGAACCAAACUGUAGAAUUUAUGUGAAGAAUUUAGCUAAACACGUUCAAGAAAAGGACCUUAAAUUUAUUUUUGGAAGGUAUGUUGACUUUUCAUCAGAAACACAACGGAUUAUGUUUGAUAUACGUUUGAUGAAAGAAGGCCGCAUGAAAGGACAAGCUUUCAUUGGACUGCCAAAUGAAAAAGCAGCAGCAAAAGCCUUAAAAGAAGCUAACGGAUAUGUUCUUUUUGGAAAACCCAUGGUGGUUCAAUUUGCGCGAUCAGCUAGACCAAAACAAGAUUCUAAAGAGGGAAAAAGAAAAUGUUAAAAAUUAGUAAAGAAGCAUUCCUGCGUAAAUACUGCUGUAAUACUGUCAUGCAAAGUGUAUCCUUUCUUGUCGUAUCCUUUUUGGGGCAGUGUUUUGUUUUGUUUUGUUCCUAAAAAUGUUUCAUUGCUCCCCCACUCAGUGAUCAAAAUUGAGCAAUAUUUUUUUACACUUUGUUCGAAUGAAAUAUUUCCAAACAUAUCUGUGUAGAUUGAACAAAUCUCUUAUGCAGUUUUUAGAUUUGUUGUUGAAUUUUCUAGCUGUCCUUUAAGUAAGGUAGUUUUUCCAGGGAAAGUUAGUGAAUCAGGUCAACUUAGUUACUUUAUUUAUAUACAUUUGCUUUAACACUGAAUGUAGUCUUGCUUCCUCUACUUGUGUAUUUCUUACACCUAAUUCAGUAACAUGCUUUCUGUUUUAUGACAUAUCUGUUUAGGUAUUCUAUGUAACAUGUUGUAAAAUUUGAUUGGAGAAAGAAUUAUUUUUCUUUUAAAAAGUACAGAUUUUGAAAUUAAAUGGGUUUCUAUGUAAAUUCCAAGUAAGAGUAGCAGACCUCACAUCUGAGGUCUUACUAUUGAAAUCUCCUUUGAGAUAUAGCUAGCAAGUGGAAGUAACUUUUCUCUUUUCUUUUUUCUCUAAACAAAACAAAGCAAAAAAAUGUAAUUAAAACCACAAAAGGGAGAAGACAUUGUUGACUCAGGCUAGCACAUUAAGUGAAAAGAAACUAUCCUGGUACAUAUGUAAGAACAAUGGUUUCCAAACUGGUUGAUGACCAGACUAAGCUAGACCAGUGGUUCUCAAUCUUGGCUGCACAUUGGAAUGAUCUGGGGAACUUAAAAAAAAAAAAAAAAAAAAAAAAAAAAAAUCUGAUUUUAAGAAAACAAAAAACCUUUUAAAAUAUACUGAUACCUGGGUCCCUCCCCCAGAGUAUUUGAUUUAAUUGGUCUGGAGUGUAGCCUGAGCAUCAGAAUUUUUAAAACCCCUCAAAGUGAUUCUAAUGUGCAACCAAGGUUUGAGAACUACCAAGAAGGAAUUUUUAUACAUAAAGAUUCCUGGGCUCCAGCUUAGAACUUUGAAUCAGAAUCUGGAAAUGGAGCCCAAGAAUUUAAUUUAAAAAGAUUCCUCUAGUAAUUCUGACAACAGACCAAUUUGCAUACUACUUUGAGUAAAAUGGUCAGGCGCCUAAUACCAGCCUAGCCAUCCAGCCUUUUCUAAGUAGGAAAAUAGAGGACUAGAGCGUCUACAUUUCUUUCUUGCAAAUUUUGCUCUUGUUAGUACUGUAAAAAUAAUUCAAAAUUCUGUUAAUGAUCGUUGUCACCCCAAGAGGUCAUAAACAAUUACUGAAAUUACAAUUGUUUCUUUAUAGGGAGAGUUAAAUGUUUUAUUUUUUAAUGUUAUAAAUUACAGUUUCUGUAUAUGCUGUUUAGUUAGAUAUUUAAAAAUUUUGUUGUCUUGACAUGAUUCACUAAUUUUCUAAGUAUAAAUUCUAGCUUUUAGUUAUUUUUAAAACAUGAACUGUUUUAUAAUCUUGAUUAUUAAUGGCCUUUUAUCAUGUUUUAGGUUCUUUUUGAAUUCCAUAUCUUUCAAGUAUUUUCCAAUUUUGAGGAGAAGAAAUUGGCCACCUGGACUAUGGAACAAUACUGCCAUUUUUCAUUCUUGGACAUCAUGCAGCCUUUUUUUUUUUAACGGUACUCUUAAUUCUAAGUUAUAAUUAUUUUAGGAGUGAUUUUGUUUGCAUUUGUGUUUCUUUUUCCUUAUGUAUUUUUUAUUGUUGUUAAGGGGUUUCUCAAAGUUUAGGGAAUUUGUAUCUUUGCCCUAAUUUAAUUUUCCAUUUUUGCGUCCCUAAAUACAAUCAGAUUACCACUCAGAGGUGAAAAUAUUUCCCAUAUAAAAUCACUCUGUUCUCUUAGUAAAAUGAGUUUCAGCCAUAUGUAAGUAGAAAUCUUUGAUAUUUUUUAUUUUGCUUGUUCUUAUUGAUAUUGUCCUGUGAAUAUGUGACAACAACUUCAUCCUAGAGUUACUGCUCAAGGACUCAGGUCUCCUGGUGGAAUGCUGUUCUGAAUCACAACUUCUCUUUUAAUCAUAGCUUUGCAAAGUGAAGAGAGUGAGAAUAUUAAAGAUAGAAAUUAGAAAUAUGGGGAAGUGGACCCUUGAACAUGCUAAUGUUUAGAUGUGAAGUCAGUAAGGAACCAUUAAAGAAGACUGAGGAGGAACAGCUGGAAGCCAAGUGAAAAAAGUAUAUCAGGCAGGAGGGGUGAGCAAAUGUUGUGUCAAAUCUGGAUGAUUCAUGUAAGAUGAGUUCCGAGUAUUGAACACUGGGUUUCGCAACAUUCGUGACUUAAACCUCGACAGCCUGAUUUGAUUGAUGGAAGGAGUGAAGGGAAAUAUUCAAGGGAAUGGUAGAGAGGAAAUGAGUAAAGUAAGAAUUGAAGACAGUUCUUUUAAGGAGUCUAGCUCUAAAGGGGGAAUGGAGAUAUGGGUUGUAAGUGGAGGGGGUUAUGGUAUCAAGAGGGUUUUUGAAAAAUUUUUUUAAGGAUCAAGAUAUAGCAGAUUUGUAUGCUAAAGGGACUGAUCCAAUAGGAGAGGGAAAAUUGCUGAAGCCAUAAAACUGGUGUACAAAUAAAAGGGUUAGCUGUGAAGAUAGGCAUGCAGAUAGCUCCUUAACAGAAAGAGGAGGAAGGGCCGUUACAUAAGUCUAGAUGUUUUUAGUUUGGUAGAUAGAAUAGGAGCAUGUGGAAGUUCUCUUAUGGUUUUUUGUUUUGCUUUUUCAGUGAAAUAGGGAGCAAAGUCAUGAAGACGGAGGAAGUGUUAGAGGGUUGUGGCAAGAAAAAAGUUGUAAAAUAGACAUCUAGAAAAGUGAGGGAGUGAACAGACUUUUAGAAGGAUUGCCAGGCCGUCCCUAAGUUCCCACCUGAAGUUUGUGGUUGUCAGCUUAAAAUGAGUCCAGUCAACAUAGUUUUGUUUUCCCUUCCAGUUAUAAACUCAGAUGGGUGCUGUCACUGAGUAAUGGAAUUAGAUUUAACCAACAUUAGAAUUUUCCCAAGUGAAUAUAACAAAGGGGGAGAAUGGAAAAGGUGUUGGUGAUGUGUACAAGGGAAUGGAUGAUUAUAAAGAAGGGACAUGGAAAGUAAUCUGGGUAAGGAGCAAAAUGAAAAGAUAAAGGAUGGAAAGUACAGUGGAAAAACAGUAUAAUCAAUUGUAAAUUGCAGUGGGGUUUAAGAUAUUUUGGGGUUGUUUACUAGAGGUAGGAACUAGAAAUUUGAGAGGUUGAAAAAGCAAGAUGGGGUGCAUAAAAUUGAGAAUAUUGGAGGGAGUAUAUUACUAGGAUAUGAAUACAGGAGUAGGUUAGAGGCAAGUUCAUGGAAAGAGAUGAAAUCACAAAACUGAGAAGCAGAGGUAUCACAAAAGGAUCAUCUAAGUGGGUUUUGAAAUUAUCUACAAUUAUGACAGGAGUAGUGAGUCAAGAUCUGUGGGCAUAAUAAUAGUAUCUACCUUUGGGUUGUUGUCAAGAUGAUUUGAUGAAUAUAAAAUACUGAAAAUGUGUCUGGUGUAUAAAUUCUCAAUAAAAAUAAACUUUUUUUGUA